Molecule: long non-coding RNA, 365 nt
Filed under: Dromaius novaehollandiae (emu)
Lineage: Eukaryota; Metazoa; Chordata; Aves; Casuariiformes; Dromaiidae
Description: lncRNA (ENSDNVG00000015196.1)
Source: RNAcentral
GGCUGUGGCGCGCGCGGCCACCCGCGCAGCGCGGCCUGGCGGCGCUGCCAGGGCAGCGGGACGAGGCCAGACAGCAGCAGGCCGUGCCGAAUUGCACUGUUCCCUGGUCUUCACCCACCUCAGUCCAACAGAAUCGCAUUUGGCAACUCCCAAGCAAAAAGUCCAAACUCCUCUUGGAAGGGAAGUAAAAAGAAAAGGGACAAGAAGUAACAGUAAAAAAAUACAGUAAAAGCUGUUUAUAGAAGAGUGGAUUUUAACCGGUGCAAGCCCUGUUAAUACCUGAUUGAUAAAAGAUGCAAGAUAAAAAGAUGAAAUACUGAUCUGAUUUGAAGUGCAUUUAUUCCUGUGGAUCUACAUAUUCCACA